Molecule: long non-coding RNA, 351 nt
Organism: Phascolarctos cinereus (koala)
Lineage: Eukaryota; Metazoa; Chordata; Mammalia; Diprotodontia; Phascolarctidae
Source: RefSeq, a predicted model, not a curated record
UGUUUCAGGAGAAAAGAAUGAGAAGCUGGAGGCAUGGAAGACAGACAACAUCCAGGGAAGUUCCCUAAUCCCAUCCUAUUUUCCUUGAGAAAGAUGGAACCCCAGGGUAAAAGGGGAUAAGAAUGCCCCUGUAGGGCCUACAUCACUGUCUUCUGUCUACAGACCUCCUCCUUUUGAGGACAUUUUCUCUCAACUCAUUUUGCUGGGAGCUCCUAAAUAUCUCUCAAGGCAAUAACCAGGAUGGUGAGGAGAUUUAACAUCAAGGAUGGGUUGAAGAAACUAGAGAAGCUUAACCCAGAAAAGGGAAGAUAUAAAGAAUCAUAUUGUAUCAUCAUCAUCAUCAUCAUCAUU